Molecule: long non-coding RNA, 852 nt
Filed under: Elaeis guineensis (African oil palm)
Lineage: Eukaryota; Viridiplantae; Streptophyta; Magnoliopsida; Arecales; Arecaceae
Description: long non-coding RNA (EGUI_LNC080320)
Source: RNAcentral
GGCGCGAUCAAUCCCAUCUUGACUCGUACUCAGACUUCACAAGUAUUUAACUGUAUCCAAAAAUCUUCCGUCAUCCAAUUAAAAAUUCGGAUAGUCCGGCACCAAAGCACAGUGUGUUGCUUGCAAGUCACCGAGACAGCUUCAGGUCCGAGAGACACCCAUAUCCCAUCAGAGCAACCCUUGACAGCAGAGUGCUCUGGAAGUGGUCAUGCUCAGUAAAAUGUACUCCUACAUAUCAUCCGUAUGUCAUAUCCGUAUCACCACACGUCUUGGUUAAGAGGACAACCAACUAAUAUGGUAUAUAACAACCUACACUUGAUACAAUUAUUGUCCUUGUAACAAUUGUAUUAUUUGAUUGCGAGCAGGAUUUAAGAACCACAUGAUAAAUCCUCCUUUAUCAUUUUGAAAGUAAUUCUAAGGACUUCAUCAUAACAUAUGAGUUCUAUUUUAGAAGAUAUAUUUCUUAAAAUGAAUCUGUCAGAUAACAUUUAUCAUUCUAUAAUUCAUAUACUUAUAUGGAGCACAAUCAUCUACAACCUAGAUGAUUGGCUUUAGGACAUAUUUCCCAAUAUAUAUCAUGGCAAUCCAAAUAAAGAUGAAUUAGAUCAAAUUGAACCUUUCUAUUACAAUUACCAUGUAAUCAAAUCUUUCUAUCAUACAAUGUCCUGAUUGAAUGAAGGCCGUGAGAUUUUGUCAAACCUACUGAUUCAAUUAUAUGUCCAAUCUAAUUGAUCAUGACAUUUAAUAGUUACUCUUGGAACUACCUCCAAAUACCAUUCCACUUUGGCUAAAGAUUCCUUAGGUCAAGUCUAUUAGAUGCAUAGGACAUUCUCUCUCUUUACUUCAGAGUGA